This 253-nucleotide ribosomal RNA is filed under the name uncultured bacterium. Its description in RNAcentral is "partial 16S ribosomal RNA". It matches the Rfam family "Bacterial small subunit ribosomal RNA", at positions 524 to 776 of the family's 1533-position model. The record is from RNAcentral.
GACAGAGGGGGCAAGCGUUGCUCGGAAUCACUGGGCGUAAAGCGCGCGUAGGCGGCCCGGUAAGUCCGCUGUGAAAGUCAAAGGCUCAACCUUUGAAUGUCAGCGGAUACUGCCGGGCUAGAGUCCGGAAGAGGCGAGUGGAAUUCCUGGUGUAGCGGUGGAAUGCGCAGAUAUCAGGAGGAACACCAACGGCGAAGGCAGCUCGCUGGGACGGUACUGACGCUGAGGCGCGAAAGCGUGGGGAGCGAACAGG